RNAcentral lists this ribosomal RNA (989 nucleotides) under Curtobacterium sp. MF1_19. RNAcentral's name for it is "bacterial SSU rRNA". It matches the Rfam family "Bacterial small subunit ribosomal RNA", at positions 434 to 1434 of the family's 1533-position model. The record is from RNAcentral. Lineage: Bacteria; Bacillati; Actinomycetota; Actinomycetes; Micrococcales; Microbacteriaceae.
UUUUAGUAGGGAAGAAGCGAAAGUGACGGUACCUGCAGAAAAAGCACCGGCUAACUACGUGCCAGCAGCCGCGGUAAUACGUAGGGUGCAAGCGUUGUCCGGAAUUAUUGGGCGUAAAGAGCUCGUAGGCGGUUUGUCGCGUCUGCUGUGAAAUCCCGAGGCUCAACCUCGGGCUUGCAGUGGGUACGGGCAGACUAGAGUGCGGUAGGGGAGAUUGGAAUUCCUGGUGUAGCGGUGGAAUGCGCAGAUAUCAGGAGGAACACCGAUGGCGAAGGCAGAUCUCUGGGCCGUAACUGACGCUGAGGAGCGAAAGCGUGGGGAGCGAACAGGAUUAGAUACCCUGGUAGUCCACGCCGUAAACGUUGGGCGCUAGAUGUAGGGACCUUUCCACGGUUUCUGUGUCGUAGCUAACGCAUUAAGCGCCCCGCCUGGGGAGUACGGCCGCAAGGCUAAAACUCAAAGGAAUUGACGGGGGCCCGCACAAGCGGCGGAGCAUGCGGAUUAAUUCGAUGCAACGCGAAGAACCUUACCAAGGCUUGACAUACACCGGAAACGGCCAGAGAUGGUCGCCCCCUUGUGGUCGGUGUACAGGUGGUGCAUGGUUGUCGUCAGCUCGUGUCGUGAGAUGUUGGGUUAAGUCCCGCAACGAGCGCAACCCUCGUUCUAUGUUGCCAGCGGGUCAUGCCGGGGACUCAUAGGAGACUGCCGGGGUCAACUCGGAGGAAGGUGGGGAUGACGUCAAAUCAUCAUGCCCCUUAUGUCUUGGGCUUCACGCAUGCUACAAUGGCCGGUACAAAGGGCUGCGAUACCGUAAGGUGGAGCGAAUCCCAAAAAGCCGGUCUCAGUUCGGAUUGAGGUCUGCAACUCGACCUCAUGAAGUCGGAGUCGCUAGUAAUCGCAGAUCAGCAACGCUGCGGUGAAUACGUUCCCGGGCCUUGUACACACCGCCCGUCAAGUCAUGAAAGUCGGUAACACCCGAAGCCGGUGGC